ACCCAAAUGUAACAGUUAAGGGCUAUUUAAAGGGGGUACAGCCCCUUUAAAAAAGGACACAACCUCCAUCAGCGGAUAACCCCCAUGCACCCAACCCUGUGGGCCUUAAAGCAGCCACCCCUAAAGAUUGCGUCAAAGCUCCGUCAACUAAAAACCUCAAAAAUCAAUGUGACUCCCUACACCCACAGCAGGCCAACCUAUGAUAAUAGAUGAGUCAAUGCUAGAACGAGUAACCAGGAUACCAUGUCCCCCCAAGCGCCAGCCUACACACUAUUAACAGCAAAACCUCAAUAAUAACCACCCCUCCUCACCAUUGAACACACCCUGUCAAUCCAACUCAGGGGCGCACACUGGAGUGAUCAAAAUCUACAAAAGGAACUCGGCAAACCCAAGACCCGACUGUUUACCAAAAACAUAGCCUUCAGCCAAACAAGUAUUGAAGGUGAUGCCUGCCCAGUGACACCAUGUUUAACGGCCGCGGUAUCCUAACCGUGCAAAGGUAGCGCAAUCAAUUGUCCCAUAAAUCGAGACCUGUAUGAAUGGCUAAACGAGGUCUUAACUGUCUCCUGUAGAUAAUCGGUGAAACUGAUCUCUCUGUGCAAAAGCAGAGAUAGACACAUAAGACGAGAAGACCCUGUGGAACUUCAAAAUCAAUAGCCACCCCACCCAACUUACUAGCCCACCCGGGCCCACUACCUAAAACACUGGCUAACAUUUUUAGGUUGGGGCGACCUUGGAGAAAAACAGACCCUCCAAAAACAGGGCCAAGCCCCCUAACUAAGAGCAACCCCUCGACGUGCCAACAGCACCCAGACCCAGUAAAUCUGACCAAUGGACCAAGCUACCCCAGGGAUAACAGCGCAAUCUCCCCCAAGAGCCCUUAUCGACGAGGAGGUUUACGACCUCGAUGUUGGAUCA
This 918-nucleotide ribosomal RNA is filed under the name Orthopsittaca manilatus (Red-bellied macaw). RNAcentral's name for it is "partial 16S ribosomal RNA". It matches the Rfam family "Bacterial large subunit ribosomal RNA", at positions 962 to 2539 of the family's 2925-position model. Lineage: Eukaryota; Metazoa; Chordata; Aves; Psittaciformes; Psittacidae. The record is from RNAcentral.